UGGGGAAUUUUGGACAAUGGGCGAAAGCCUGAUCCAGCAAUGCCGCGUGUGUGAAGAAGGCCUUCGGGUUGUAAAGCACUUUUGUCCGGAAAGAAAUCCUUGGCUCUAAUACAGUCGGGGGAUGACGGUACCGGAAGAAUAAGCACCGGCUAACUACGUGCCAGCAGCCGCGGUAAUACGUAGGGUGCAAGCGUUAAUCGGAAUUACUGGGCGUAAAGCGUGCGCAGGCGGUCCGCUAAGACAGAUGUGAAAUCCCCGGGCUUAACCUGGGAACUGCAUUUGUGACUGGCGGGCUAGAGUAUGGCAGAGGGGGGUAGAAUUCCACGUGUAGCAGUGAAAUGCGUAGAGAUGUGGAGGAAUACCGAUGGCGAAGGCAGCCCCCUGGGCCCAAUACUGACGCUCAUGCACGAAAGCGUGGGGGAGCAAACAGGAUUAGAUACCCUGGUAGUCCACGCCCUAAACGAUGUCAACUAGUUGUCGGGUCUUCAUUGACUU
This 495-nucleotide ribosomal RNA is filed under the name uncultured bacterium. RNAcentral describes it as "partial 16S ribosomal RNA". It matches the Rfam family "Bacterial small subunit ribosomal RNA", at positions 355 to 841 of the family's 1533-position model. The record is from RNAcentral.